UACGUAGGUGGCAAGCGUUGUCCGGAUUUAUUGGGUUUAAAGGGUGCGUAGGCGGCUUUGUAAGUCAGUAGUGAAAUACCCCAGCUCAACUGGGGGGGUGCUAUUGAUACUGCAUGGCUUGAGUACAGAUGAGGUAGGCGGAAUUGACGGUGUAGCGGUGAAAUGCGCAGAUAUCAGGAGGAACACCGGUGGCGAAGGCGGGUCUCUGGGCAGUAACUGACGCUGAGGAGCGAAAGCGUGGGGAGCGAACAGG
RNAcentral lists this ribosomal RNA (253 nucleotides) under uncultured bacterium. RNAcentral describes it as "partial 16S ribosomal RNA". It matches the Rfam family "Bacterial small subunit ribosomal RNA", at positions 524 to 776 of the family's 1533-position model. The record is from RNAcentral.